This is a long non-coding RNA of Linepithema humile (Argentine ant), 929 nucleotides long. RefSeq lists it as uncharacterized. NCBI's taxonomy places the organism in Eukaryota, Metazoa, Arthropoda, Insecta, Hymenoptera, Formicidae. The record is from RefSeq and is a predicted model, not a curated record.
CCGCUAGUCGUCGAAUGUCCGUCGUCGCGUAUAGAAAAAUUUCGAGAAAAUGGAAGAAAAAUAUUGUGCAAUCGUUAUGAAGAUUAGCAAACGCGUUGUGCUAUGAAUUUGACGAUACAGUCCUGACACCCAAUCGCUCGACACAUUUCACGUAUCUCCGCUAGUCGUUGAUUGUUCGCCGUCGCGUGAAGAUCGACUUGAGGGCAUCGAAGAAAAAUAAUGGACGAUCGUGCGAUCAUAUGCGCGUAUUUUACAAAUCACUGCACACGCGUCAUUAUUUUCGAAAAUAUUUUGAAAGAUAUUCAUCAGAGAAUCGCAACUGCUACAAAUUGAACAAUCGUACACAUUCAUACGCAUCAAAAUGAAUCUCAAAACAUCGUUGUUAUUUGUUUUUGUUAUCAUGAACAUAUUAAUUCAUGAUACAAUAACAGUAACACCUGAACCAGAACCUAAACCAGAUUUUUGUUAUCUGCACUUGGAGCUAGGUUUUUGCGAAUCGUUCGUCAAGACUGUAGUACUAAGAUAUUGGUACAAUUCAGAAACAGGACAUUGCGAAUCGUUCUAUUAUCAAGGUUGUAGAAACAAUUUAAAUAAUUUUGAGUCUUUAGAAGAUUGCCAAGAGAUAUGUGAAUUCUGAAACUUGAAAAGUUCUCUAAUAUCUACAUAAAAUUAUAUUUACACAAUUUACAUAAAAAUACCAAAUUAAAAUCUGUGAAAACACUUGUGCCAAUAUUUUAUUGAACAAUAAUUAACUAUCAUCAAAUUACGCACUCAAAUGUAAAAAAAUAAAAAAAAGUAGUGCAUAAAAUUUACUUUCUAUUUUCCGUGCUAUGUUCUAUACAUAGUAUUACUUAUUAUGAUUUAACAAUAUCUUAACAUUUAACAAUUUCAAUGAAAAAUAACGCAUAUAUUUGAUUUAUGAUUCAAAU